GACAGAGUGAACGGGAGAGAGUUUCAGAGAGAGUGUGGCGUCGGAAGAGGAUGAAGCAAGAGGGGAGAGAAGAACAGGAAGAUGAGAUCGUGUUCGACAGAGACUCAGAGACUUCGAAUCAUAAAAAGCAGAUUUUGAUCUUUCAGCUUUCUCAAAGGCUAAUCCAUGGCGACCUUCUCUCCCGAAUCGAAGCUGCCAAAGAUUUGAGGAAGCUCGCCCGUAAGUCUUCCCCCAAGUCCCGCUCCAACCUCGGCGCUUCCAGUCUGAUUCAACCCCUUGUUUGCAUGCUUCUCUCUCCCAAUCUUGAUGCCCGUGAAGCCUCUCUUCUUGCCCUCCUCAAUCUCGCUUCCCGCAAUGAACGGAACAAGAUAAAAAUAGUUGCAGCUGGUGCUAUUCCCCCGCUUCUAGAGCUGCUGAAAUUCCAAAACCUUAGUUUGAGGGAACUAGCCACUGCAGCAAUCCUGACCUUGUCGGCUGCUGCUUCGAAUAAACCGGUCAUCUUGUCAGCUGGUGCAACAUCUCUUCUGGUUCAGAUUCUCAUUUCUGGAAGUGUUCAAGCUAAAGUUGAUGCAGUGACAGCUCUAUACUACUUAUCUGCCUGCACUGAAAACGAGAAUUGCCCAAUGAUGCUUGAUCCAGGAGCAGUUGCCCCUCUAAUUGAUCUCCUCAAAGAAUGCAAGAAGCAUUCGAAGUUUGCCGAAAAAACUACAUCCCUCCUUCAGAUCAUUUCGAACUCAGAUGAAGGGCGAACUGCAAUCUCCAAUUCAGAUGGCGGAAUACUAACUUUAGUACAGACAGUUGAAGAUGGAUCUCUUGUGAGCACAGAGAAUGCAGUGGGAGUUUUGCUUUCCAUGUGCCAGAGUUGCCGUGAGACAUACCGCGAACCCAUCUUGAAAGAAGGUGCAAUCCCUGGCCUUUUGAGACUCACAGUAGAGGGCACAGCUGAAGCACAAGAUAGAGCUCGCAGGCUUCUGGAUUUGCUUAGAGAUUCUCCUCAGGAAAAGAGAAUGAGCUCAACAGAUCUGGAGAGAAUUGCCUACAAAAUCGCUGCUGAAGUUGACGGCGUAGGACAAGCAGCCGAAACUGCCAAAAGAUUAAUGCAGGAAAUGGUUCAGAGGAGAUUAAACACUGCAUAAACCGCUCACUCGCUCCGUUUUGUACAUUUUCUUUGAUGUCUUCUUGACAUUCCACUCACUUCUUCUUCUUCUUCUUCUUCCAGGAGGUACAAGUCUUGGGAGAUGGCUUGAAAUUUCACUUCUAAAUAUUAGGAUCUGGUUUGGCCAUUCUCUGCUACUUGGAUUUUCACUGAAGGAAGUAGCAACUCCCAUUGCUGAUGAGAAAACGUCUGAGCCUGAAAAUAAAUUGAAGGCAUGGGAAGCUUUUCUGGUUCCUGUAAGCAAUCGCCGCCGGCCGCCCAUCGUCUCCCCGCCGGAAUCAUCGCUCGACGUGAAGAGAAGUUGAACAAUUCGAAAGUCGAUGAACAGAAGAACAAUAUAUAAUACAUCCUUCUUCUUCAAUCGCGAAGAACCUCCACUUGAAAGUGAAAGGAUUUGGCCCACGCCUUCCCCCAAAAGUCAGACUCCACAGACCUUCACCUCCAAUAAUUUAAUGGCGGAAUCGACGACUUAAUCUUCCUCUUCACUCCUUCAAUCUCUUAUAAACUCUGCUCUCUCCUUCAAUCUCCUUCAAUCACAGCACCGCCAUGUUAGGUUUAAUUUUUCUCAAUUCGCGUAUUGGACUCGCCAUCAUUUUCUUCAACACUUUCGUAUGGAUCCCGUUGUUUCGUGUCAAGGAAGCGAUUCUCGGUGUCGCUAGUGUUUUCCGCCUCGUAUCCUUACCAGAAAUGGACAGCUCCCGCGGCGGAACUCUGCUGGUGAGAAGAUACGAAGAGUUGCAGAGGAGCGAUGAUCGAGCGGAAGAGGAGGAGAUGUGCUCCAUCUGUUUGACGGAAUUCGCGAGAGAAGAUUCCGUGUGCAAAUUGCCGGACUGUGCGCACGUUUUUCACUUCGAUUGCAUCGAGAAAUGGCAUGAGAGGAAUCGCUUCACUUGUCCUCUCUGUAGAUGCUUCUUCAACAUCGAGAAACACCAUGAGAAGAAGCUCCGCUUCGUUGUUCCAGAUAAUCCUUCCUCCCUUUAUUAUUUCUUGCAGUGAUUUCUUCUUUUCUUUUCGUUUUUCCAUAUCGAUUGUUCUACUGUAUAUUGAUUUCGGAUUUGGAAAUUGCUGUAGAAUUUCCAGUUCUUUUGUGUAAAAAUCUUUGUUCUCUGAACUUCGGAACGGAUUUCUCUGUAAAUGCAACGAUUUCCUUUCCGGGAAGGUUAACCAGAAAAUCAAGGAACGGUUCUUCCUGGGAUUGAAAUUAUUUGGAAAUUCUUCUGGAACUCUUGUUCAUUAAUAAUCAGUAUCAUCUAUGCU
Cucurbita moschata (crookneck pumpkin) is the source of this 2413-nucleotide RNA transcript. It is a transcript of the gene named U-box domain-containing protein 45, with no coding region annotated. The record is from RefSeq and is a predicted model, not a curated record. The transcript has 3 exons. Lineage: Eukaryota; Viridiplantae; Streptophyta; Magnoliopsida; Cucurbitales; Cucurbitaceae.